RNAcentral lists this unclassified non-coding RNA (254 nucleotides) under uncultured Planctomycetia bacterium. RNAcentral's name for it is "contains 16S-23S intergenic spacer region". It matches the Rfam family "Bacterial small subunit ribosomal RNA", at positions 524 to 776 of the family's 1533-position model. The record is from RNAcentral. Lineage: Bacteria; Pseudomonadati; Planctomycetota; Planctomycetia.
UACGAACUGCCCGAGCGUUAUUCGGAAUCAUUGGGCUUAAAGGGCGCGUAGGCGGCGUCGUAAGUUGGAGGUGAAAUCCCAUCGGCUCAACCGUGGAACUGCCUUCAAUACUGCGAUGCUUGAGGGAGACAGGGGCGUGCGGAACUUGCAGUGGAGCGGUGAAAUGUGUUGAUAUUGCAAGGAACGCCGGUGGCGAAAGCGGCACGCUGGUUCUCUUCUGACGCUGAGGCGCGAAAGCUAGGGGAGCAAACGGG